Molecule: small RNA, 59 nt
Filed under: Helianthus annuus (common sunflower)
Lineage: Eukaryota; Viridiplantae; Streptophyta; Magnoliopsida; Asterales; Asteraceae
Source: RNAcentral
CACUAGUCUGGAGUUGGGAGUUACUCCACUGAUGAGUCCAUAUUAGGACGAAGUUGAUA